Non-coding RNA from Musa acuminata subsp. malaccensis (wild Malaysian banana), 1438 nucleotides. NCBI's taxonomy places the organism in Eukaryota, Viridiplantae, Streptophyta, Magnoliopsida, Zingiberales, Musaceae. The record is from RefSeq and is a predicted model, not a curated record.
GGGGGGUCACGUACGUCGUGGGUAUUCGUGGUAACGGGUUACCCGUUGCCGUGCGCACUUGCAAGUCACCUGCAGUCUAACCGUCUCUCUACUAGUGGAUCUCGGCUCCCUCUGUCCCGGCCUCGCCGUCCUCCAUGGCGUCGCUACUUAGAUCGGCCGGGGUGGGCGGACCGGGCGGUAAUAUCCUGCGCAUCCGGUGCCGCUCCCCGCCGUCUCUCCGUCCUACUCUUCCUCCUCCCGUUCGGAUCGGAAGCCCUAGGAAGCGCGUCCUUUUCUUCCGCCUCAUCCUCUGAUUACUCCUCGGACGGAGACCUCGGUUCUUGCUCUGGUGAUGAGGAGGCCUUUGAUGCACCUAAAGCGCUUCAUAAAAUGAAUAAAGUAAAUUCAUGAUUAUGUAUAUCCCAUCCAAAGUUGAUUUUUGUAGCUUUUAUUGUCUUUUGUUUUGUAUCCAUGGUUUUGGUGUUGGUUUGUUAUUAUGUUUGUUUUUUAUGUGCUUUAUUUGCUUUGUCACAUUUUGUGUCCAUGACAUUGUAUAAGUCAUUAUUUUCUGUUGUUUUAUGUGCGUGGAUUUCUGUAAGAAAUGAAAUUAGCAAAAUCUUUGAUUUGUCAUUUUCAUCACUCAACUAUAUUAUGGAUGGGUUUGCUUUUAAAUUAUUAGUGGUGUUAUAUUGUAAUAGGCUUCUAAUGUUAUUUUUUAUGAUAUCAACUGAGAUACAUAUGAAGCUAGAGUUUUUGGAUGAUUUCUUUUUAAUCCAGGAAUCUCUUGUUAAAUUAAGCUGCAAGAUUUGAAAAGGAAUUCUCUUCCUAUAUGAUCAGGAAGGAAAGAAACCAGGGUUACUGGGUGACUGCAUCGAGGAAUUGAAAGCCAUAGUUCAACUAAGUGAAUCCAAACUCACUAUUGAGAGAAGUUGCUAAUGCAGGAGACUUUCUCGAGGUUUUCAAUAGGAAAUUUUUUCUAGAAAAAGCCAGGACAAUAGUAGGAGAGUGCACUUGAAGUCAAGGGAUAAUGUUCAAGACAGCCCUAAGUUUGAAAAGGUUCUUUCACCAAGAAGAUUAGCUGGAGCUGAGACUUCAAAGGUCUCAUUAACAGCCUAUGAGAGAGAUAAAGUUGUUUUAGGAACAAACCACAAUUCAAGCAGAAGCUGAUUGAGCCUCUUCCUAGUGCUAUGUACCACAGGAGGAAAGCUAAGGUAAGAAGAUGAAGGGGACGAGGGCCAAAAUGACAGGCUAUUGGGAGCUUCAUCACUAUAGUUGUUUUCUCUCGGGGGAUCAGAUCAAACUAAAAUGUUAGCUCCCUGUAUGCAUGCCUGAUGGAAUAAUAUGUGCAAGUUCUGGCCAAGAAAAAUUCAACCUCAAGACCAAGGAAGAGAAGAGGUUGCUUUUGAAGCCUGAUCAAUAAAUAAUGUGAGGUUCAAUGUCAAAUUCUCUCAUUCCUCCA